This 450-nucleotide ribosomal RNA is filed under the name uncultured bacterium. RNAcentral's name for it is "partial 16S ribosomal RNA". It matches the Rfam family "Bacterial small subunit ribosomal RNA", at positions 354 to 796 of the family's 1533-position model. The record is from RNAcentral.
GUGGGGAAUAUUGGACAAUGGGCGAAAGCCUGAUCCAGCCAUGCCGCGUGUGUGAAGAAGGUCUUCGGAUUGUAAAGCACUUUAAGUUGGGAGGAAGGGCAGUAAGUUAAUACCUUGCUGUUUUGACGUUACCGACAGAAUAAGCACCGGCUAACUUCGUGCCAGCAGCCGCGGUAAUACGAAGGGUGCAAGCGUUAAUCGGAAUUACUGGGCGUAAAGCGCGCGUAGGUGGUUUUGUAAGUUGGAGGUGAAAUCCCCGGGCCCAACCUGGGAACUGCCUCCAAAACUGCAUGACUAGAGUACGGUAGAGGGUAGUGGAAUUUCCUGUGUAGCGGUGAAAUGCGUAGAUAUAGGAAGGAACACCAGUGGCGAAGGCGACUACCUGGACUGAUACUGACACUGAGGUGCGAAAGCGUGGGGAGCAAACAGGAUUAGAUACCCUUGUAGUCC